GAAAUAGAACCUGAAACCGUGUGCUUACAAGUAGUCAGAGCCCGUUAAUGGGUGAUGGCGUGCCUUUUGUAGAAUGAACCGGCGAGUUACGAUUUGAUGCAAGGUUAAGCAGUAAAUGUGGAGCCGUAGCGAAAGCGAGUCUGAAUAGGGCGUUUAGUAUUUGGUCGUAGACCCGAAACCAGGUGAUCUACCCUUGGUCAGGUUGAAGUUCAGGUAACACUGAAUGGAGGACCGAACCGACUUACGUUGAAAAGUGAGCGGAUGAACUGAGGGUAGCGGAGAAAUUCCAAUCGAACCUGGAGAUAGCUGGUUCUCUCCGAAAUAGCUUUAGGGCUAGCCUCAAGUGAUGAUUAUUGGAGGUAGAGCACUGUUUGGACGAGGGGCCCCUCUCGGGUUACCGAAUUCAGACAAACUCCGAAUGCCAAUUAAUUUAACUUGGGAGUCAGAACAUGGGUGAUAAGGUCCGUGUUCGAAAGGGAAACAGCCCAGACCACCAGCUAAGGUCCCAAAAUAUAUGUUAAGUGGAAAAGGAUGUGGCGUUGCCCAGACAACUAGGAUGUUGGCUUAGAAGCAGCCAUCAUUUAAAGAGUGCGUAAUAGCUCACUAGUCGAGUGACACUGCGCCGAAAAUGUACCGGGGCUAAACAUAUUACCGAAGCUGUGGAUUGUCCUUUGGACAAUGGUAGGAGAGCGUUCUAAGGGCGUUGAAGCAUGAUCGUAAGGACAUGUGGAGCGCUUAGAAGUGAGAAUGCCGGUGUGAGUAGCGAAAGACGGGUGAGAAUCCCGUCCACCGAUUGACUAAGGUUUCCAGAGGAAGGCUCGUCCGCUCUGGGUUAGUCGGGUCCUAAGCUGAGGCCGACAGGCGUAGGCGAUGGAUAACAGGUUGAUAUUCCUGUACCACCUAUAAUCGUUUUAAUCGAUGGGGGGACGCAGUAGGAUAGGCGAAGCGUGCGAUUGGAUUGCACGUCUAAGCAGUAAGGCUGAGUAUUAGGCAAAUCCGGUACUCAUUAAGGCUGAGCUGUGAUGGGGAGAAGACAUUGUGUCUUCGAGUCGUUGAUUUCACACUGCCGAGAAAAGCCUCUAGAUAGAAAAUAGGUGCCCGUACCGCAAACCGACACAGGUAGUCAAGAUGAGAAUUCUAAGGUGAGCGAGCGAACUCUCGUUAAGGAACUCGGCAAAAUGACCCCGUAACUUCGGGAGAAGGGGUGCUCUUUAGGGUUAACGCCCAGAAGAGCCGCAGUGAAUAGGCCCAAGCGACUGUUUAUCAAAAACACAGGUCUCUGCUAAACCGUAAGGUGAUGUAUAGGGGCUGACGCCUGCCCGGUGCUGGAAGGUUAAGAGGAGUGGUUAGCUUCUGCGAAGCUACGAAUCGAAGCCCCAGUAAACGGCGGCCGUAACUAUAACGGUCCUAAGGUAGCGAAAUUCCUUGUCGGGUAAGUUCCGACCCGCACGAAAGGCGUAACGAUUUGGGCACUGUCUCAACGAGAGACUCGGUGAAAUCAUAGUACCUGUGAAGAUGCAGGUUACCCGCGACAGGACGGAAAGACCCCGUGGAGCUUUACUGUAGCCUGAUAUUGAAAUUCGGCACAGCUUGUACAGGAUAGGUAGGAGCCUUUGAAACGUGAGCGCUAGCUUACGUGGAGGCGCUGGUGGGAUACUACCCUAGCUGUGUUGGCUUUCUAACCCGCACCACUUAUCGUGGUGGGAGACAGUGUCAGGCGGGCAGUUUGACUGGGGCGG
This 1739-nucleotide ribosomal RNA is filed under the name Staphylococcus aureus. RNAcentral's name for it is "partial 23S ribosomal RNA". It matches the Rfam family "Bacterial large subunit ribosomal RNA", at positions 540 to 2282 of the family's 2925-position model. Lineage: Bacteria; Bacillati; Bacillota; Bacilli; Caryophanales; Staphylococcaceae. The record is from RNAcentral.